Molecule: transfer RNA, 72 nt
Filed under: Camelus bactrianus (Bactrian camel)
Lineage: Eukaryota; Metazoa; Chordata; Mammalia; Artiodactyla; Camelidae
Also listed under: 1 other name
Rfam family: tRNA
About the family: Transfer RNA (tRNA) molecules are approximately 80 nucleotides in length. Their secondary structure includes four short double-helical elements and three loops (D, anti-codon, and T loops).
Source: Rfam by way of RNAcentral
GAGGGUAUAGCUCAGCGGUAGAGUGCCUGCCUAUCAUGUGUGCGGUCCUGAGUUCAAUUCCCAGUACCUCCA